Molecule: non-coding RNA, 100 nt
Filed under: Lachnospiraceae bacterium
Lineage: Bacteria; Bacillati; Bacillota; Clostridia; Lachnospirales; Lachnospiraceae
Description: Glycine sequence
Rfam family: Glycine riboswitch aptamer
About the family: This family represents the bacterial glycine riboswitch. Glycine riboswitches usually consist of two metabolite-binding aptamers domains with similar structures in tandem. The aptamers cooperatively bind glycine to regulate the expression of downstream genes.
Source: RNAcentral
GGAGUAAACUCUGGAGAAGCUCUAUACAGAGUGCCGAAGGUGCAAAGGCUCAGGAUGAUUCCUGCCCCAAUCUCUCAGGCAAAAGGACAGAGAAGAUAAA